This 478-nucleotide ribosomal RNA is filed under the name uncultured bacterium. RNAcentral describes it as "partial 16S ribosomal RNA". It matches the Rfam family "Bacterial small subunit ribosomal RNA", at positions 28 to 523 of the family's 1533-position model. The record is from RNAcentral.
GACGAACGCUGGCGGCGUGCUUAACACAUGCAAGUCGAACGGUAAGGCCCUUCGGGGUACACGAGUGGCGAACGGGUGAGUAACACGUGGGUGAUCCGCCCUGCACUUCGGGAUAAGCCUGGGAAACUGGGUCUAAUACCGGAUAGGACCACUGCCUGCAUGGGUGGUGGUGGAAAGCUUUUGCGGUGUGGGAUGGGCCCGCGGCCUAUCAGCUUGUUGGUGGGGUGAUGGCCUACCAAGGCGACGACGGGUAGCCGGCCUGCGAGGGUGACCGGCCACACUGGGACUGGGAAACGGCCCAGCGUCCUUCGGGAGGCAGCAGUGGGGAAUAUUGCACAAUGGGGGAAAGCCUGAUGCAGCGACGCCGCGUGAGGGAUGACGGCCUUCGGGAUGUAAACCUCUUUCAGCACCGACGAAGCGCAAGUGACGGUAGGUGCAGAAGAAGGACCGGCCAACUACGUGCCAGCAGCCGCCGUAA